This 174-nucleotide unclassified non-coding RNA is filed under the name uncultured fungus. RNAcentral's name for it is "sequence contains ITS1". Lineage: Eukaryota; Fungi. The record is from RNAcentral.
UUAUUAAAUUAACUUUAUACUCCGACGUAAAGAUGCAGUGUUUGAUGACCUCCGGGGAGAAUGCCGCGAACGGCAGGGUCGCCCCCAAAGCAACAUGAUGCGUUCACAAAGGGUUGGAGGUCGGGAUUGCUCCCUCACUCGGUAAUGAUCCCUCCGCAGGUUCACCUACGGAGA